Molecule: long non-coding RNA, 239 nt
Filed under: Volvox carteri
Lineage: Eukaryota; Viridiplantae; Chlorophyta; Chlorophyceae; Chlamydomonadales; Volvocaceae
Description: long non-coding RNA (VCAR_LNC004277)
Source: RNAcentral
CUCCCUCCCUUCUCCUCCCUCUCCUAAUCCCUCCUCUUACCUCCCACCACACACAUACACACACGCCCCGCCCCACCCCGCCCCGGGCCACCCUCUCCCUACAGGUUACGUUUGAGGACGGCAGCUACGUGAUCCGUCAGGGGGAGGAGGGUCGGGACUUCUUCGUCAUCGCCUCCGGGGAGGUGUCCUGUACUGUCAAGAAGAACCUGGCGAACCCCGACGAGCAAGCCAAGGAGGUG